Molecule: ribosomal RNA, 495 nt
Filed under: uncultured bacterium
Lineage: Bacteria
Description: partial 16S ribosomal RNA
Rfam family: Bacterial small subunit ribosomal RNA
Source: RNAcentral
GACGAACGCUGGCGGCGUGCCUAAUACAUGCAAGUAGAACGCUGAAGGAGGAGCUUGCUUCUCCGGAUGAGUUGCGAACGGGUGAGUAACGCGUAGGUAACCUGCCUGGUAGCGGGGGAUAACUAUUGGAAACGAUAGCUAAUACCGCAUAACAGUAGAUGUUGCAUGACAUUUGCUUAAAAGGUGCAAUUGCAUCACUACCAGAUGGACCUGCGUUGUAUUAGCUAGUUGGUGAGGUAACGGCUCACCAAGGCGACGAUACAUAGCCGACCUGAGAGGGUGAUCGGCCACACUGGGACUGAGACACGGCCCAGACUCCUACGGGAGGCAGCAGUAGGGAAUCUUCGGCAAUGGACGGAAGUCUGACCGAGCAACGCCGCGUGAGUGAAGAAGGUUUUCGGAUCGUAAAGCUCUGUUGUAAGAGAAGAACGAGUGUGAGAGUGGAAAGUUCACACUGUGACGGUAUCUUACCAAAAAGGGACGGCUAACUACGUG